This 2247-nucleotide long non-coding RNA is filed under the name Sus scrofa (pig). RNAcentral's name for it is "lncRNA (ENSSSCG00065075118.1)". Lineage: Eukaryota; Metazoa; Chordata; Mammalia; Artiodactyla; Suidae. The record is from RNAcentral.
UGAACUGGCCGCAGGGCAAGCUGGGACCCGGUUCCCCUGCAUGGGUUGGUGUCCGUGUACCCACACGUGGGUGUGUGUGUGCCCGUCACUGUGGCUGCACACCUGCCUGUGGUGUAUGUGCAUCCGGUUUCAUAUUGGCUUUUUUGUUUUCGUUUUUUGUCUUUUUGCCAUUUCUAGAGCUGCUCCCAUGGCAUAUGGAGGUUCCCAGGCUAGGGGUCGAAUCGGAGCUGUAGCUGCUGGGCUACACCAGAGCCAUAGCAACACCAGAUCUGAGCUGCAUCUGCAACCACCACAGCUCAACAAUGCCCGAUCCUUAACCCACUGAGCAAGGCCAAGGAUUGAACCUGCGUCCUCAUGGAUGCAAGUCAGAUUCGUUUCCACUGAGCCAUGACGGGAACUCCUGGCAUGUGGGUUUUUUAAUUCAGGGUUAUGCGUGUCUGUCUACACUUGUCUCUGUGUGUAGGUACAUAGUCUCAUUAUAUCUGUGUGUUUAUGUGGUAAUCAGAGCAAACACCUGUAUGGCCCUUCUGUCCACCAGGCUUCCGGGUGCACAGAGGUUCCAUGAGCCUAAUCCUUUCACCAAGGUGGGUGCUCUUAGGAUCUCGAUUUUCAGAUGAGGAAACUGAGACACAGAGGGGUUGAGCAACUUGCCCAAGGGUGCCCUGGUGGGAUUUGAACCUGGGCUGGUUUGCUCGAAGUCCGCCUCCUGCUCACACACUUGCCAUGUCUGUAUGGAUAGGUGCCCUCAGGGAUCAGGUCCACUUAUGUCCCAUCCCAGCAUCGGGGAAGGGUGCCCGCACCCCGCCUGUGUGGUCAGGCAGGGGUGUGGGUGUGUCUGGUUCCCAUGUGCACGUGGGGGGGGAGAUACGCAAAUGUGUGCACAGGUGUGAUGGGGGCCGACGGCCUGCCUCAGGCUCCAAGAAGGCCCGUGGUGCCAGGACGGGGCCAUCCUUUCCUGCCUAAGAGCAAAUCACAGGAAUGGCAGCCCCAGGGACUGUCCUGGGCCUUCUCCCCACCCUCCCCAGGCCCCAGAGGGCCUUUGUUGCCUUUACUGGGGACCCAGAGGAGGGGGGGCGGCCGCUACGGGAAUUCCUCCAGAACCCCCCGCUUUCAGCCUUUCAGGGGCGCGGGAGGCGCAUGGAAAACUCUGACCGCUGGUGGCGGCUGAGGGCGCAGGGUGGUCACGCGGGGUAGGGGCGCUGGACUCAAGCCUCAAGGGAGCAGGACUCAUGGCCUUUGCAGAACCAACCAAAAGCAGGCCCUGGGUGGCGCCUGCCUUGGACCUGGAGUCCGGCCAGCAGCCCUGGCCUGGCUCCGAGAGGCCUCCUCCAGGCUGGCCCAAGGGACUCUACACACCAGGAUGCUGGGCCAGAGGUCCAGAGAGGCGGGCGGGGACCCCAGAGGCUCCAGGGGCCAUGGAGGCAGACACAGCUGUUUGUUUGGAGUGGGACCUGCAUGGUCUCGCAGGCGCCCUGGUUCCUCCUCCUCUGUCAGCAGGGUUUCCAGCGGGAGCGAAGCUGGGUGGUCCUCUCCACCCCUGCUGGUCUCUGUGCCUCUGCGCCUUCUUCUCUCCUGGGAGCAGCCACCUCCUUUCUUUCUCGGCCCCACAGAGGGGGCAGCUGGUUGCUUCCUCCUGCUCUCUCACUGCACCUGUAAUGGGUUGAUAGACACCCCCCCCCCAAAGAUAUGUCCAAGUCCUAACCCAGGCACCUGUGGAUGUGACCUUAUUUAGAUCUUUGCAGAUGUCAUCAAGUUAAGGAUCUCGAGGUACCACUUCACACGGGUCAGACUGGCCAUCAUAGAAAGUCUACAAAUGACAAAUGCUGGAGAGAGUGCAGAGAAAGGGGCACCCUCCUGCACUGGUGGGGGAAUCUAAGUUACUGCAACCGCUACGGAGAACAGUAUGGAGAGUCCUCAGAAAACAAAAUAUAAAACGACCAUAUGAUGCCGCAAUCUCACCCCUGGCCACAUAUUGGGACAAAACUAAUCAAAAAAGAUGUAUGCACCCCUGUGUUCAUUGCAGCACGAUUCACAAUAGCCAAGACACAGAAACCACCUAAAUGUCCAUCGACAGAUGAAUGGAUUACGAAGACAUGAUACAGCAAUGAGACCCUGCUGUAGAGUGCUGGGGACUCUGUCCAGUCACUUAUGAUGGAGCCUGAUGGAGGAUAAUGUGAGAAAAAGGAUGAAUACAUGUACGUGUGACUGGGUUACUUUGCUGUGCAGUAGAAAACGGACAGAACACUG